UGCGCAGGCGGUUUUGUAAGACAGGUGUGAAAUCCCCGGGCUUAACCUGGGAACUGCGCUUGUGACUGCAAGACUGGAGUGCGGCAGAGGGGGGUGGAAUUCCACGUGUAGCAGUGAAAUGCGUAGAGAUGUGGAGGAACACCGAUGGCGAAGGCAGCCCCCUGGGUCGACACUGACGCUCAGGCACGAAAGCGUGGGGAGCAAACAGGAUUAGAUACCCUGGUAGUCCACGCCCUAAACGAUGCGAACUAGGUGUUGGGGAAGGAGACUUCUUUAGUACCGCAGCUAACGCGUGAAGUUCGCCGCCUGGGGAGUACGGUCGCAAGAUUAAA
Molecule: ribosomal RNA, 332 nt
Filed under: uncultured bacterium
Lineage: Bacteria
Description: bacterial SSU rRNA
Rfam family: Bacterial small subunit ribosomal RNA
Source: RNAcentral